UCCAGUGUUGCCACAUAGGAAUUCAGAGCUGGCAUUGCCAUGAGAAACUGGAAAUCUCAAUUUUUCUGUAAAAUCUUUUUCCUUUUCUUUUCUUUUCUUUUUUUUUUUUUUUUUUUUUUAAAGAAAUGGGGUCUCCCUGUGUUGCCCAGGCUGGUCUCAAACUCCUGGGCUCAAGAUCCUCUGGCCUCUGCCUUACAAAGGGAUUACAGGCAUGAGCCACCACCCUGGGCCUCUGAUUACUUAAUUUUAAAACCUAGCCAAUUUGCCUACUCCCCAUAAUGCCUGAUAUCUUUUUUUUUCCUAAGACAGAGUCUUGCUCUGUCUCCCAGGCUGGCGUGCAGUGGCCAUCUCAGCUCAUUACAACCUCCGCCUCCCGAGUUCAAGCAAUUCUCCUGCCUCAGCCACCUGAGUAGCUGAGAUUAUAGGCACGAACCACCACACCCAGCUAAUUUUUGUAUUUUUAGUAGAGAAGGCGUUUCGACAUGUUGGUCAGGCUGGUCUCAAACUCCUGGCCUCAAGGGAUCUUCCUGCCUCAGCCUCCCAAAGUGCUGGGAUCACAAGUGUGAGCCACCUUGCCUGGCUGCCUGAUAUCUUAAGAUCAGAAAAGCCACCCUUCUUAAGUGGAGGGUAGGUCGGUCCAUAUUUACAGGAAUGGAGGAAAGGAGAAUGUUUCUUCUCUCAUUCGUCCAUUCAGUAGCUCUGAAAUUAAUGCUUAGGUGAGCAAACGCCUGCCCGCCUGCCCCCUACCCCCUGCCACCCUCACUUUAUGAGACUUUGCUGUUGAACACCAAGUAAACGUUUCCCAGAAAGCCCAGUUAAGAAACAAUUCACGGCGAGGUGAGGGCACAAAGGUAGGGAAAGAAUUCACUGCGAGGUGAGGGCACAAAGGUAGGGGGAAAGGGGGAAAUUAUAUUUCUUUAAAGGACAGAGAUCCCUGAAUAACACGGGGAGGGGGCAGUUACAGCCUCAGAGGACAUCUCCAAGUCCUUCUAGGGACCCCUGUGCCAUAUACAAACACUGGUCUCAGAGAUUAGCAGGGGGAAGAGGAUAUUGACACAGUACUGUCCUAGAGAAUGAUUCCAGAUGCUUCUGAGUCUGUGAGGCCCCCUCUGUCCGUCAUCAGCAAAACAAGUGAGGGAGAAGUCUGAAGAGUGACGACCCUAGAAGUUAUCUGAGUUUAAGACUGGGAAUCUUAAGGCACAGAGCAGAGGAUCUGGAGGCUGAAAAAGACGCUCUGCAGCUUCAGAGCGAAGAGGGCGGCGGGGGUCGUGGGGUGGGCGUGGAACUUCCCGGCCUUCUGGAGCAGGAGUAAGCCGUUGAGGCUGCGCAGGGGUUUGAGCUGAGCGAAAACAGCUCCUUCCCUUGAUCAUGCUGCCCUCCGGAGGUCAGUGUAGGUAUCGCCGCUCUCUUUCACGUUAUUCUGUCUCUUCAUCGUCUGUUCUGGAUCACCCUGUUCUGGAGACCAUUGGGUCAGAGGGUUCCUAU
RNAcentral lists this long non-coding RNA (1485 nucleotides) under Callithrix jacchus (white-tufted-ear marmoset). RNAcentral describes it as "lncRNA (ENSCJAG00000075482.1)". Lineage: Eukaryota; Metazoa; Chordata; Mammalia; Primates; Cebidae. The record is from RNAcentral.